ACUCCUACGGGAGGCAGCAGUGGGGAAUAUUGCACAAUGGGGGAAACCCUGAUGCAGCCAUGCCGCGUGUGUGAAGAAGGCCUUCGGGUUGUAAAGCACUUUCAGUAGGGAGGAAGGUAGUGUAGUUAACACCUGCAUUAUUUGACGUUACCUACAGAAGAAGCACCGGCUAACUCCGUGCCAGCAGCCGCGGUAAUACGGAGGGUGCGAGCGUUAAUCGGAAUUACUGGGCGUAAAGCGCAUGCAGGCGGCCUGUUAAGUCAGAUGUGAAAGCCCGGGGCUUAACCUCGGAAUUGCAUUUGAAACUGGCAGGCUAGAGUCUUGUAGAGGGGGGUAGAAUUUCAGGUGUAGCGGUGAAAUGCGUAGAGAUCUAGAAGGAAUACC
RNAcentral lists this ribosomal RNA (384 nucleotides) under uncultured bacterium. Its description in RNAcentral is "bacterial SSU rRNA". It matches the Rfam family "Bacterial small subunit ribosomal RNA", at positions 335 to 710 of the family's 1533-position model. The record is from RNAcentral.